This 90-nucleotide non-coding RNA is filed under the name human gut metagenome. RNAcentral's name for it is "TPP riboswitch (THI element)". It matches the Rfam family "TPP riboswitch aptamer (THI element)", at positions 7 to 92 of the family's 105-position model. Rfam says of the family: Vitamin B(1) in its active form thiamin pyrophosphate (TPP) is an essential coenzyme that is synthesised by coupling of pyrimidine and thiazole moieties in bacteria. The previously detected thiamin-regulatory element, thi box was extended, resulting in a new, highly conserved RNA secondary structure, the THI element, which is widely distributed in eubacteria and also occurs in some archaea. The record is from RNAcentral.
ACGCCAGGGGAGCUUUUGCUGAGACAAAGCGCUUUUAUCGCUUUAGACCCUCAUUACCUGAACCGGAUAAUACCGGCGUAGGGAGGCGGC